Molecule: unclassified non-coding RNA, 209 nt
Filed under: plant metagenome
Description: partial contains small subunit ribosomal RNA, internal transcribed spacer 1, and 5.8S ribosomal RNA
Source: RNAcentral
UCUCCGUUGGUGAACCAGCGGAGGGAUCAUUACUGGAAUCGCAAGAUCCCACAACCCUGUGAACCUACCGAAACGUUGCCUCGGCGGGUGCCCGGCCCCCGCGCCGGGCGCUGCGCCCGGCGGCGGCCCCCUACUCUGUCUCUGCAGCGUGGCAUCUCAGAGUCCCAGAAAACAAGUCAAAACUUUCAACAACGGAUCUCUUGGCUCUA